CCGUYAKACGGUYGYAGAGAUAGURSCUUUCCUUCGGGACAKWSRAGACAGGUGGUGCAUGGUUGUCGUCAGCUCGUGUCGUGAGAUGUUGGGUUAAGUCCCGCAACGAGCGCAACCCUUGAUCUUAGUUGCCAGCACUUCGGGUGGGCACUCUAAGGUGACUGCCGGUGACAAACCGGAGGAAGGUGGGGAUGACGUCAAAUCAUCAUGCCCCUUAUGACCUGGGCUACACACGUACUACAAUGGCCGGUACAACGGGCWGUGAAGCCGCGAGGUGGAACGAAUCCUAAAAAGCCGGUCUCAGUUCGGAUUGCAGGCUGCAACUCGCCUGCAUGAAGUCGGAAUUGCUAGUAAUCGCGGAUCAGCAUGCCGCGGUGAAUACGUUCCCGGGUCUUGUACACACCGA
Molecule: ribosomal RNA, 406 nt
Filed under: Paenibacillus xylanexedens
Lineage: Bacteria; Bacillati; Bacillota; Bacilli; Caryophanales; Paenibacillaceae
Description: partial 16S ribosomal RNA
Rfam family: Bacterial small subunit ribosomal RNA
Source: RNAcentral